RNAcentral lists this ribosomal RNA (235 nucleotides) under uncultured Eubacteriales bacterium. RNAcentral's name for it is "uncultured Clostridiales bacterium partial 16S ribosomal RNA". It matches the Rfam family "Bacterial small subunit ribosomal RNA", at positions 99 to 334 of the family's 1533-position model. Lineage: Bacteria; Bacillati; Bacillota; Clostridia; Eubacteriales. The record is from RNAcentral.
CGAACGGGUGAGUAACGCGUGAGUAACCUGCCUUACACAAGGGGAUAGCCUUUGGAAACGAAGAAUAAUACCCUAUAAAACUAUAAAAGCACAUGCUAGAAUGGUCAAAGUGCUAGCGGUGUAAGAUGGACUUGCGUCUGAUUAGCUAGUUGGUGGGAUAAAAGCUCACCAAGGCAACGAUCAGUAGCCGGCUUGAGAGAGUGUACGGCCACAUUGGGACUGAGACACGGCCCAG